GGGGAGGAAAGAGGGGGGACUGUGGGGAAGUGGGUGACCAGAUUGGAGCUCUUCACAUGCUCAGCACUGGUGCAGAUGGAGAAGAAAAAUCAGAGAGCAUGUGAAGAGCUCCAAUCUGGUCACCCACUUCCCCACAGUCCCCCCUCUUUCCUCCCCCC
Molecule: microRNA precursor, 158 nt
Filed under: Marmota monax (woodchuck)
Lineage: Eukaryota; Metazoa; Chordata; Mammalia; Rodentia; Sciuridae
Source: RNAcentral